This 62-nucleotide transfer RNA is filed under the name Crocinitomicaceae bacterium. RNAcentral describes it as "tRNA-Asp". It matches the Rfam family "tRNA", at positions 8 to 63 of the family's 71-position model. From Rfam's summary of the family: Transfer RNA (tRNA) molecules are approximately 80 nucleotides in length. Their secondary structure includes four short double-helical elements and three loops (D, anti-codon, and T loops). The record is from RNAcentral. Lineage: Bacteria; Pseudomonadati; Bacteroidota; Flavobacteriia; Flavobacteriales; Crocinitomicaceae.
UAGUUCAGUUGGUUAGAAUACCUGCCUGUCACGCAGGGGGUCGCGAGUUCGAGUCUCGUCCA